Long non-coding RNA from Sebastes umbrosus (honeycomb rockfish), 904 nucleotides. RefSeq lists it as uncharacterized. NCBI's taxonomy places the organism in Eukaryota, Metazoa, Chordata, Actinopteri, Perciformes, Sebastidae. The record is from RefSeq and is a predicted model, not a curated record. The transcript has 5 exons.
CGCACGUGUGACUGUGCAGCACGAUGAUUGCUUAGCGACAGGGUCACGUUGGGAAUCACUUCCGCCGACAGAUAAAAAGGUAACAACAACAAAGUUAGCUGCUAAAAGCUUCAACAAGAUGUAGACAUUAACUUGUAUGGAGGAGAGGACUGAGCAGAGCACAUCUGGAGACAAACAUCCAGCUGCAGUAAAGAGCAGCUUCCACCAUAUUGACCACAUUAGGACGCAUAUGACCGAAACUUGGAGAAAGUGGAGCAACAUCCUCAACACACCUCCACCUGACAACACACCUCCACCUGACAACACCAGGCCUUUACUUUGAAGCCCGCGUCCCACCCGUCAGGCUGAAUCCUAAAAAGCCGCUGCACAAGUGAAGAAUCCCUGACUGAGAGGAGACAGAACAAACUGCGUUUUAUGGACCGUUUCUCAUCAGAAAGAACCGAGUCCAGGGCGAAGACAACAUGGCUGAACUCUCCGGCUCGCCUCUAAUCUCCCACAGAUCAAGGAGUCUCCACUCUGGCCGUUCUUACCUCUGAAGUCGGCUAUCUGGAGUCUGAUAAACCCUGCAGAGAUCUGGACCCGCAGGCUUCGCUGUGCUGAUGACGUGUCCUUGAGCAAGAUACUAAACUACCACCAACUCAGGUCACAGAGUCGAAGGUCAAGGCAUCGCUGUCUGAGGAGUCGGGGUUUCCUGAGUUGGAGUUCCUGGUCAGAUAGUUCCUGCACAGGAGAGCAAAGUUCACAGAAAAAGUGAUUCUUCAUUACUUGCGCGCUCGCUGCAGCAGCUCCUCCUUCCGCUGCAGCAGAAACGUCUGUCGCUGCUCCGCUGACGUAGAAAACCGAAUCUCUGUAUCUUCGUCCAUCUUCUCCUCCUCAUCAUCACCUUCCUCGUCUUGCUCUGACG